RNAcentral lists this ribosomal RNA (467 nucleotides) under uncultured bacterium. RNAcentral's name for it is "partial 16S ribosomal RNA". It matches the Rfam family "Bacterial small subunit ribosomal RNA", at positions 28 to 506 of the family's 1533-position model. The record is from RNAcentral.
GACGAACGCUGGCGGCGUGCUUAACACAUGCAAGUCGAACGGAAAGGCCCUGCUUUUGUGGGGUGCUCGAGUGGCGAACGGGUGAGUAACACGUGGGUAACCUGCCCUUGACUUUGGGAUAACUUCAGGAAACUGGGGCUAAUACCGGAUAGGAGCUCCUGCUGCAUGGUGGGGGUUGGAAAGUUUCGGCGGUUGGGGAUGGACUCGCGGCUUAUCAGCUUGUUGGUGGGGUAGUGGCUUACCAAGGCUUUGACGGGUAGCCGGCCUGAGAGGGUGACCGGCCACAUGGGGACGGAGAGACGGCCCAGACGCCGACGGGAGGCAGCAGGGGGGAAUAUGGCACAAGGGGCGGAAGCCGGAGGCAGCAACGCCGCGUGCGGGAGGACGGCCUUCGGGUGGGAAACCGCUUUCGCCUGUGACGAAGCGUGAGGGACGGGAAUGGGGAAAGAAGCACCGGCGAACUACGG